Molecule: ribosomal RNA, 460 nt
Filed under: uncultured bacterium
Lineage: Bacteria
Description: partial 16S ribosomal RNA
Rfam family: Bacterial small subunit ribosomal RNA
Source: RNAcentral
CCUACGGGCGGCAGCAGUGAGGAAUAUUGGUCAAUGGACGCAAGUCUGAACCAGCCAUGCCGCGUGCAGGAAGACGGCUCUAUGAGUUGUAAACUGCUUUUGUACGAGGGUAAACGCAGAUACGCGUAUCUGUCUGAAAGUAUCGUACGAAUAAGGAUCGGCUAACUCCGUGCCAGCCGCCGCGGUAUUACGGAGGAUUCAAGCGUUAUCCGGAUUUAUUGGGUUUAAAGGGUGCGUAGGCGGUCGGAUAAGUUAGAGGUGAAAUCCCGAGGCUCAACUUCGGAAUUGCCUCUGAUACUGUUCGGCUAGAGAGUAGUUGCGGUAGGCGGAAUGUAUGGUGUAGCGGUGAAAUGCUGAGAGAGCAUACAGAACACCGAUUGCGAAGGCAGCUUACCAAGCUACUUCUGACGUUGAGGCACGAAAGCGUGGGGAGCAAACAGGAUUAGAUACCCGUGUAGUC